RNAcentral lists this ribosomal RNA (854 nucleotides) under Penicillium terrenum. RNAcentral's name for it is "LSU rRNA". It matches the Rfam family "Eukaryotic large subunit ribosomal RNA", at positions 74 to 945 of the family's 3401-position model. Lineage: Eukaryota; Fungi; Ascomycota; Eurotiomycetes; Eurotiales; Aspergillaceae. The record is from RNAcentral.
AUUGCCCCAGUAACGGCGAAGUGAAGCGGCAAGAGCUCAAAUUUGAAAGCUGGCCCCUUCGGGGUCCGCAUUGUAAUUUGCAGAGGAUGCUUCGGGAGUGGCCCCCAUCUAAGUGCUCUGGAACGGGCCGUCAUAGAGGGUGAGAAUCCCGUAUGGGAUGGGGUGUCCGCGACCAUGUGAAGCUCCUUCGACGAGUCGAGUUGUUUGGGAAUGCAGCUCUAAAUGGGUGGUAAAUUUCAUCUAAAGCUAAAUAUUGGCCGGAGACCGAUAGCGCACAAGUAGAGUGAUCGAAAGAUGAAAAGCACUUUGAAAAGAGAGUUAAAAAGCACGUGAAAUUGUUGAAAGGGAAGCGCUUGCGACCAGACUCGCCUGCGGGGUUCAGCCGGUAUUCGUACCGGUGUACUUCCCCGUGGGCGGGCCAGCGUCGGUUUGGGCGGCCGGUCAAAGGCCCUCGGAAUGUAACGCCUCUCGGGGCGUCUUAUAGCCGAGGGUGCCAUGCGGCCAGCCCGGACCGAGGAACGCGCUUCGGCACGGACGCUGGCAUAAUGGUCGUAAGCGACCCGUCUUGAAACACGGACCAAGGAGUCUAACAUCUACGCGAGUGUUCGGGUGUCAAACCCGUGCGCGCAGUGAAAGCGAACGGAGGUGGGAACCCUCACGGGUGCACCAUCGACCGAUCCUGAAGUCUUCGGAUGGAUUUGAGUAAGAGCGUAGCUGUUGGGACCCGAAAGAUGGUGAACUAUGCCUGAAUAGGGCGAAGCCAGAGGAAACUCUGGUGGAGGCUCGCAGCGGUUCUGACGUGCAAAUCGAUCGUCAAAUUUGGGUAUAGGGGCGAAAGACUAAUCGAACCAUCU